AGGAAUACUAGCAGAUAAAGCAAAUAUAACACACAUAGAUAUCAGUGACUGGAUAUCUAAAUAUGAAGAGUGGGAUGAGGAGGAGAUAUUGACUGGAAAUGUUUGGUUUGGCCAUAUUCCCCCUGACCUAGAGAACUUGCGCAAGAAGAGAUACUGGCUCUGGCGUAGACUGGUAGAACAUGAAUUUAUGGAAAACUGGGAAUCCGUUUCAGAAAUAGACACCUCGUAUUUAUAGUUGUACAAUGGUGUACAAUUAUGGACAAUGUUGUACUCAAUAUUGUACAUAAUUGUACUAUAUUGUUUAGAGUUGUAGAAUAUGGUACAAUAUUGUACACUACUGUAAAAUAUUGUACUUUAUUAUUUAGGGUUGUACAAUAUAGUACAAUGUUGUACAAUAUUGUACUUUAUUGUUUAGAGUCGUACAAUAUGAUACUGAUUCAAUGUUGUACAAUGAUGUAUAAUGCUGAAAAAAGUGAACAAUGUUCCACAAUGCUGUACAAUGUUGUACAACAUUGUACAAUAUGUACAAUAUUUAAAGAUGUUGUACAAACCACAUUUACAAAUACGGGUGUAUACAAUACAUAGAAAACUAGGACAUUUAACUUGCCAGUGCUCAGUGCUAUAUGUCUAUAACUGAACAUGAUAAUUUAUUUUUAAAAGCUUAAACCCGAGUAAAAACCUGGCUUUAUUGUCUGUUUACCCCAAGUGAAGACUGAAUACUCGAGUUUUAGUUAAUCUUAUUUUAAAUCUCUACUUGGACUUAAAGCCGCAGAUUGUGAAUUUCUUAAAAGCUUUUUAUAUUAAAAAUCAUAAUUGUCUAGAUUUUAAAAAUAAUUUAUCUAUAUGAAGUUUGAAUUUUCGAAAUUUACAUUUGGUAAAUCUACCUUUUUACAGACAGCAAUCGCUCAUUGGUGGAUUCAGAACCAAUCAGAAACCAUCAAAUGUAGCUUUAUACUUGACUUUAAGGUCUUGAUGUUUCAGAAGGUCGAGCCUUACUUUUAAAAUCUCAGCUCAGUUAUGAAGCAACAUUUAAUAUGCCUUGCUAUUGCUUUCAUUUUCUGAGUAUUUAUUAAAAUUAUAAAACAAAAUGCAACCUGUAGGGACCCUUCUUUUAAAAAAUAAAAGAUGAAUUUUAAAAUUAUUGAAGAUGACAUAUAAAAGUUUUACAAAUUAUCAUGUUUGGUGGAAUUCACUGCAGCACUUGCUCAUUUUUUAUCUCUUUAUUUUUCCCAGUCACGUAGAUUUAGACGAAUAGACUUUAAGACGGGGUCGACUUCAAGGUGUCGCUACGCCAAGACCUUUGAUUUUACCUUACUAACUCAUUUAUACUUUUUUGUAUCCCUGGACAAUUAAAUUUUAAAACGUUAAA
This is a long non-coding RNA of Eurytemora carolleeae, 1369 nucleotides long. RefSeq lists it as uncharacterized. The transcript has 2 exons. The record is from RefSeq and is a predicted model, not a curated record. Lineage: Eukaryota; Metazoa; Arthropoda; Copepoda; Calanoida; Temoridae.